Non-coding RNA from Phoenix dactylifera (date palm), 837 nucleotides. The record is from RefSeq and is a predicted model, not a curated record. NCBI's taxonomy places the organism in Eukaryota, Viridiplantae, Streptophyta, Magnoliopsida, Arecales, Arecaceae.
CCAAAAGCCCGCCAAACAAUGUCCUCAUUCCAUCUCCUCUCCUCUGGUGGAAAUAAGUUGCAGACCAUGCGCCCCUCCAGCCAGCUGGGUCCGAACAAAGUGGGCCAUCCACACAGCAGCAAGUCGGCCAACAUCUGUCCCCUAAGGCAUCAAUAGCUCGUCCAUCCCAAUUCUCUCCGGGUCACCGUCGGAGCCCGACAACAAAUGUCUCUCCGGAUGAACGAACUGCGCGGACCCACGAGCGGAAGACUGACGGGGUCAGCCGGGCCCAUGGUAGAUCGCGGGUUUAGGUGUGACGUCCAAGGAGAGAACUAUAAAUGGAGAGAGGAGGUAGGAAGGGAGGGAUCCGAAGGCAAAGAUGACGAGAGGGAAGCAAAGGAUCGACUGCGAAGGGAUCCCAGCGCGAGGCCAGGGCCGUCGGCCUCAAAGUUAGCUGUCCCAUCUGCAAGGUACAACUAGCAAACCAGAAUCAGCUUGUGGACCAUUGUGGAUCAAAGCACCCCAAGGAGAAGCCUCCUAGUGAAUCAGGUGGUUAGUUCAUCAUGAAUCGCAACAGGCUCCAGCGUGAGUACUGAACAAGCUGCAUGACUUAGAAGCAUUGUUCACUAGUGGUGGUCCUUUCUCUCUUUUUAUCUUUUUGGUUCUGGAGUAGAAACCAAUGUUAUGCUGAUAUUUGAUCCAGGAGUAACUUUAUGAAUGGAUUUGUCUUUGGACUCCAAAAUGCUUAUGUGAACACAGCCUGUGGCAGUGUAUUACAGUGUUCAUAACAAUAUAUAACAUGUUUUUCUUACUUGAGCUAGGAUUGGAUCAAUAUCAUAUGGUUUGUUGUUUUGCUCU